RNAcentral lists this signal recognition particle RNA (266 nucleotides) under Bacillota bacterium. Its description in RNAcentral is "signal recognition particle sRNA large type". It matches the Rfam family "Bacterial large signal recognition particle RNA". From Rfam's summary of the family: The signal recognition particle (SRP) is a universally conserved ribonucleoprotein involved in the co-translational targeting of proteins to membranes. Archaeal SRP consists of a 7S RNA and homologues of the eukaryotic SRP19 and SRP54 proteins. The record is from RNAcentral. Lineage: Bacteria; Bacillati; Bacillota.
CUGUGCUAAGCGGGGAGGUAGCGGCACCUUGUACCCACAAUCCGCUAUAGUGGGGCUAACGGCCUGUUUAAGGACGGAUCAUUUCAGGUCUGCCUUGUAUAAGUGAUGUUGAUGAUUGGGUCCCGUGCGACGGACAGCUAUGAACCCCGUCAGGUCCGGAAGGAAGCAGCGGUAAGUAGUGUGGUUUGGGUGCCUCGGGAGUGCCUAAUCGGAGUUAACUGUAUGAGUAACGCUGGGGCGAUUUCGCUCGAGAACAGGCUGCACAG